GACGAACGCUGGCGGCGUGCUUAACACAUGCAAGUCGAACGGAAAGGCCCUGCUUGCAGGGUACUCGAGUGGCGAACGGGUGAGUAACACGUGGGUGAUCUGCCCUGCACUUCGGGAUAAGCCUGGGAAACUGGGUCUAAUACCGGAUAGGAGCCAUUUUUAGUGUGAUGGUUGGAAAGUUUUUUCGGUGUAGGAUGAGCUCGCGGCCUAUCAGCUUGUUGGUGGGGUAAUGGCCUACCAAGGCGGCGACGGGUAGCCGGCCUGAGAGGGUGGACGGCCACAUUGGGACUGAGAUACGGCCCAGACGCCUACGGGAGGCAGCAGUGGGGAAUAUUGCACAAGGGGCGCAAGCCUGAUGCAGCGACGCCGCGGGGGGGAUGACGGCCUUCGGGUUGUAAACUCCUUUCGCUAGGGACGAAGCUUUUUGUGACGGUACCUAGAGAAGAAGCACCGGCUAACUACGUG
RNAcentral lists this ribosomal RNA (465 nucleotides) under uncultured bacterium. RNAcentral's name for it is "partial 16S ribosomal RNA". It matches the Rfam family "Bacterial small subunit ribosomal RNA", at positions 28 to 507 of the family's 1533-position model. The record is from RNAcentral.